RNAcentral lists this unclassified non-coding RNA (252 nucleotides) under uncultured fungus. RNAcentral describes it as "sequence contains ITS1, 5.8S rRNA gene". The stretch from base 204 to 252 matches the Rfam family "5.8S ribosomal RNA", at positions 1 to 49 of the family's 154-position model. The record is from RNAcentral. Lineage: Eukaryota; Fungi.
UUUCCGUAGGUGAACCUGCGGAAGGAUCAUUAGUGAAUAUUAGGGCGUUUCUUUGUAGAGCCCGAUCUCUCACUUCUAACACUGUGCACUUUAAUUAGCAAAUAUAGAAGGAUGAAUUACUUUAUUGUAAUUCGGAAUUCUUAUUUGCGACUUCAUUUCAAACAUUAGUCAAAGUAUGUUAAGAAAUUUUUAUAACAAAAAAAAACUUUCAACAACGGAUCUCUUGGCUCUCGCAUCGAUGAAGAACGCAGC